This 67-nucleotide transfer RNA is filed under the name Rasbora spilotaenia. RNAcentral describes it as "tRNA-Cys". The record is from RNAcentral. Lineage: Eukaryota; Metazoa; Chordata; Actinopteri; Cypriniformes; Danionidae.
GGCCUUGUGGUGUUCUACAUACUAGAUUGCAAAUCUAGGGUCGCAGAUCUAAAGUCUGCCGGGGCUU